RNAcentral lists this long non-coding RNA (3534 nucleotides) under Zea mays. RNAcentral's name for it is "long non-coding RNA (ZMAY_LNC005004)". Lineage: Eukaryota; Viridiplantae; Streptophyta; Magnoliopsida; Poales; Poaceae. The record is from RNAcentral.
AACUGCCCCCACGACGGAGUGCCAUUUGAAUCCCCUCGCCUCGCUACCCUCUCUCAUUCUUGGACAGCCACCAAGCGCCCUCGUCGUGUUCACCUCCCCACGCAACUGUCGCGUGUUUGCUGCUCGCAAAGUCGCGCCCUCGCCUCACCGGAGCGGUCCCUGAAGCCUCGCCGCGUCCGUGUUCCGCCCUCGCUAUUCGAGGUAAGUUUCUCCCCUUGUCUACUCUCCCUCUCGACAUACGCCAUCUACCCCUGCACCGGCGAGACCCCUGCUCGCGCUCCUAGCCCCUCGGCGCGGCGAGCUCUCCCAUCCCCAGUGCCCAGACCAAAGUAGACCCCAUCGGCCCUGUGUCGCGUCCUCCCCUCCCUGCACACUCAUGCUCCGCCGUGCUGCUGCCGUUGAAAAGCAUCUGCGCUGCCCGCUCGUUCCAUCUCUGUCGAGCCGCCAGCGAGCCCCGCUCGCAGCCCCCGCGGCCCCACCAUGCCAUGGCUGCUGCGUUGCUGCAGCCACCCCAGCCAUGCACGCCGCUCUAGUGCUGUCGCCCUGCCCUUGCCGCCACGCUGCCGGACAUGCUUCGGUGAACUAUCUGCGAGCCGUUGUCGUCACUGUCCUUUUUUCCUCUGGCUAGCGAGCGUCGAUCUGUUGCCUGUGCCACGAGCAGUGUGCUCCCGUCGUGCGAACGUGCGGUAGAAAGAAUGGAACCGUCCUCUCCCAUACGUGGCUAGGUGGCAAUUUCUUUUUGGCCAUUGGUUGUGCGGAAUUGUAUGUGGCUGUUUUUCUAGUGGUCUCCCCCGGCCAAUCAGAACGCGUUGGUUCAUUUAAUUCUGAAUCGUUCUAAUUGCGUUAACUUCGUAAUAAUGUUGCCUACAUGUUAACAAUAUUAUUUUAUCAUGACAUAUGUUUUAUUUAAUUAAUGAAUUAUUUGUGUAUCAAUUAGUUAUUAAAAUAUCUUUCUAAUUAAAACUAAGUUAUAGUUUUAAUUUGCGUAUUUAUAAAUUCAUGUUAAUGUGAUAACGCCAACUCAAAUGUCUUUUAACCAUGACUUGUUUAGUAUAAACGCGAUAUUUGUUAGCGAUUUUCGCGUGUCAAGUGUGCUGUUCACACGCGUCGUCGUGUCGUUUACGUGUGUCGCGCGCGCUCGUUUUUGUGGGUGUCGUCCGCGUCGUCUCACGUCGUGUCGUUCGCGCGCUGUUCGUGUGGCGUCGCGCGCGUUAUUUCACGUGUCGCACGACAUCUGUGCGUGAUAAUAAAUUGUUUUCACUUAUAAUCACUCAUGAUAAUUAAUUAAUUAUACUUGUGUAGCCGUUAACUAUUAAAAUAUCAAGUUAAGCGAAACUAAGCAGUUGUUUUAAUUUAUAUUUCAUAAAUGCCUGCUAAUAUGUUUAUGUCGAAACUAAAUAUUAUAAUUAAUACCUAUUUAGCGUAAACACGAUAUCUGUUACCAAUUCUCGCGUAUCGUCGCGUUGUUCGUGCGUCGUUCGCGUGUGUCGCACGUGCUGUUCUCGUUGUCGCGCGCCGUUCGCGUGUGUCGCGCGUCUUGCCGCGCGCCGUUCGCGCGUAUCGCGCGUUCGUGCUGCUCGUCUGGUUCGCGUGUUUUCACUUAUAAACACUCAUGUUUAUAACGUUAAUUUGUCAGGGUACAAAUUUUAGAUAAUUAACUUAAGGUUUGCUUGACUAAUAUUUAUUAGAUUAAUAUUCCAAGUAGAUUAAAUGUGUAGUGUUCCACUUGAGCUUUUAUAAUAAAUAUUGACCUGGCAAAUAUUAACUUAACUGCUUUUUAUUUAUUUAACAGUUGUUUAGUAUAAAACAUGUCAUCUAUUUAGUUUUUCUCGCUAGUCGCGCGUGCUGUUCCGCACGUGGUGGCGUGCUGAUUCGUGCGUCGUUCGCGCUGGUCGCGCGCACUAUUUCAUGUGUCAUCAGCAUGCUAUGUCCGCUCGUCGUUCCGCACGCCGUCGUGUUGCUUCGCUCGUCGUAAAUUUGCCUCGCUUAGAAUCCCUUACUUUAAUUAAAUAGUAGUUAUAAUUUAUAUUUCAUAACACCGAAUUAAAUGUCCUGGUUUAUAUUCGUUUAGUGUAAACGCAAUAACCUCUCGACCGUAGCUCCGCCUGUCGCGUUUCUUUUUUUCUUACGUGACCGUAGUAAUGUGCUCUAUUUCGUUUUUCAUAUUUUAUUAUGUUUUUAUUUGAAUUGUGUAAUGUUCUUAUGCAUAUAUAUAUGUUUGUUUGUUUGUGCCUGUUUGUAUUCGCUGUGUGUCGCGAAUAGACUGCGAACCAUUUUCGAGCUUCGAGGAAUCGAUAGUCAAGCUUCGGCGACCAAGUGAUCGAAUUCUUCGAGUUCUACGAGAUCGAAGACCCUGAGCAUCUGUUUGGCGAAGGCAAGUGUCCUCUGACCCAUUAUGUCCUAUCUAUUUAUAAUUCACUGUCCCGCACUACUUAAUUGAAACCUAAGGAUUGACUAGCUUUCUAUUUACCUUAACCUUGUUUAUCUUUUGGGUUAUCAUGGUUAGCUCUAUGCUAGUGCUUUACUUUAAUCAAUGAACAUGAUGAGAUACAAUGAUGAUACUAUGGUUUUAUUCUGGAUAUGAUGAUAUACUUGUGGCAUUUAGGGGACUCGGGCUGUUUCCCAAGUACCUCUCCGUAAGGACCUGUUCGUUGAGAGACCACCCGGGAUAACAGUGCAACCAUGAGGGUGAAAUGGGAUGCCCUUAGCUAAUUAAUUAGAGGAACUAGAGGUGUAGUCGCUUCGCCGUCGUGCCGUUAAUGGGGUCCAGGCACAGUGCUUGCUCUGCCGAGGCGGGGUGCCGAGGUCCUUUCGUUUUGCUUUUGUUAGUCACCCUCCUGCGGGGAGGAGUACUGUGUUUAUCAAACUGGAGAAACCUAACGGGCGGCUAUGACCUCUAGGGAAUCUUUGUAAAAGCUACGUAGUGAUACCCUGCCGGACCACCUAGGAAGUGAUCAAUGGGGAGUCAUGAUCCCCGGGCAAAACGGGAAUCACGACUCAUGGGUAAAGUGUGCGACCUCUGCAGAGGGUAAUGAAACUGAUAUAUCAGCCGUGCUCACGGUUAUGAGCGGCCUUGGGAUCCUCUUUGAUUAGAGAUACAGAUGGUUCGAGAUACAAUGGUUCUUUUUAUUAUUUCGGUUCGAUGAUGAUAAUGAGGUUUCCUCGAUGAGGAAAUGGUUCACGGGUUGGUUAUAUGAUAAAACUUGGCUUCCAUUAAUAAUAAAUAUCUGACCAACUAAAAGCAAUCUGCUUUGACCUUAACCCCACAUAAAGCUAGUCCACUACAGCCAAACGGGACAUUUGCUGAGUACGUUGAUGUGUACUCACCCUUGCUUUCACAAAACACCAGGUUGCCUUUGGUGCAAUCUCUGCUCAGGUAAAGAAGAAGUCGUCGAGGCGGAUCUCCAGGAGUUCUAGGACUUCGACGAGUUCGAGGAUUAGGCUAGCGACCUCCCCCAGUCAGCUGCCUGUGGUGGGUUGUUUACGUUGGCUACGUUUCGAUUCUGUGUACUUUGAUUUAUAUUAUGUAAAUGG